GUCACUUUUUAUGUGACUUUCUUAAAUAACGUAAAAGAUGACCUACAAACUUCUUAUAAAAGUUUACGAUAGGGAGUACCUUACUUAUUGCUUCAUGUUAUUUGGUAGUCAGUCUAUAUAUACCUCUUCUUGCGCCUGCAACACCAUCUAUGUUCUCAUAACUCCCCGUGCAAGCACUUUGUUGCUAUUCCAUCACGUGUAGGCAUGUGAGGCAUCGGGAUGGUUACAACAUCUGAAAAGUCUACAUCGGCAUAUUGACAAGAUCAGACAUUUGCUCGCAGGUUGGUCUCGACACACCAAUGCAAUGUUGUUGAAGCUCAUUGAUUGCGGGUGGAAAAAACCAGAGCUUAAGUAGUAGUUGGAACUCACGAACUUUGUUGUGGAGUGUCUGUCUGCACGUCCAUUGUUGUGUAGUUCAUCUCAAAGAUGAAGCGCAAGACAAACUGACAUCUGAUUCUUCCCCGGCUCGUGCCUCAAAUAGCUAGGGGAUGUUUCCAUGCAGUUACAAACCCCAACUUUGACAGUUAUUGCUAUUUUUCUUUUAGCUGACACUGUUAGAACUCGUGGUAUGGUUCUAAGAGCCAGGGUGACCACCUUUUCCUGAAAAAAGUAGACCUUAUAUUCCUAAUGAUUGUCUUGCCAAGGUCUAUAAGAGAUCAUAUCCCAGAACUCAAUUGGGAGAUUAUUUUUCUGGUGAACAAAUUCACCAAGAGGGGCCAAAAGAUAUGGUUACUGAGUGAUAAUCAAACUGUCGCCUAGUAACAGGACCCUACAGGUUGUAAAGAACAAUUUAAGUCGACCUUGUUCCAUGGAUUUAUAAAAAAUAUCCAAAGUAAUCUUUGUUCGAUUAUGAAUUGCCUUUUCUUCUCUUUCUUUGAAUAGAUUGGUAGUUCUACAACAUUUCAUGUUUAAUAUACUCUCUCUUUUUUGCAGGGAGAAUAUACUCUCCCAAGCCUUGUUUCAGGUACACCAUAUUAGACACAAUACUUAUUUCAGGGUACCUACCCUUCUUUUAGGGUACUUCUAUCUAUCCUUCCUAGCCAAAACAACCAGAGUGGGCGAGACUUCACUACACUCGACGCAUAUGCGCAAGCUGCGAGGUGGGAGAUGAAUUAUGGCAUGCAAGGGGGCGCAUGUUUGAUGAUCUCUUUUUAUUUUGGCCUUUGAUUUUGCAUGUUUUAUAUAUUUUAAACAAAAAAUUCAAAAUAAGUUAUGUUUUCGUAUAUGUCUUUCUCGUGACCAGCGCUUUCUAAUAAGUUGCAUUAU
This 1266-nucleotide long non-coding RNA is filed under the name Hordeum vulgare. RNAcentral describes it as "long non-coding RNA (HVUL_LNC011368)". Lineage: Eukaryota; Viridiplantae; Streptophyta; Magnoliopsida; Poales; Poaceae. The record is from RNAcentral.